This 474-nucleotide ribosomal RNA is filed under the name uncultured bacterium. RNAcentral's name for it is "bacterial SSU rRNA". It matches the Rfam family "Bacterial small subunit ribosomal RNA", at positions 28 to 526 of the family's 1533-position model. The record is from RNAcentral.
AAUGAACGUUGGCGGCGUGGAUUAGGCAUGCAAGUCGGACGCCCCGCAAGGGGAGUGGCGCAAGGGUGAGUAAGGCGACGGUAACCAACCCCGCGGUUGGGCAUAGCCGGGGGAAACCUCGGGUAAUUCCCAGCGACGUCGCGUCCCGGCAUCGGGAUGCGACCAAAGUUUCAACGCCGCGGGACGGGCCGUCGUGGUAUUAGCUAGUUGGUGGGGUGACGGCCCACCAAGGCGUCGAUGCCUACCGGGUGUGCGAGCAUGACCCGGCACACUGGGACUGAGACACUGCCCAGACUCCUACGGGAGGCUGCAGUCGAGAAUCUUCGGCAAUGGGCGCAAGCCUGACCGAGCGACGCCGCGUGGAGGACGAAGGCCUUCGGGUUGUAAACUCCUGUCGAGGGGGAGGAAGCCUUCGGGUUGACCGAUCCCUGGAGGAAGCACGGGCUAAGUUCGUGCCAGCCGCCGCCGUAAAAC